RNAcentral lists this unclassified non-coding RNA (2404 nucleotides) under Hevea brasiliensis (rubber tree). The record is from RNAcentral. Lineage: Eukaryota; Viridiplantae; Streptophyta; Magnoliopsida; Malpighiales; Euphorbiaceae.
AAAAAUUAAUAGUCCAAUACCUAGCAAAUUCUUAGUGAAAACAUGAAGGGGUAAGGGAAGCAAAAGAACAAUAGACGAAAAGCAUGAUCUAGUUGGAUGAUUUUACAUGCUAGAGUCCCAAGACCACUCUCUGCGCAUAAUCGGGUCGUCUUUUGCUGGGCAUGCGAAUAAUCCCUGUAAUCUGGAGCUCCGUAACUGCCUUACAAAACCGUGCUUGAAUUGCUGCUUCACUUAGCUUUGCAGGUUCAGUCGUAACUUUCCUUUUCUUUGGCGAUGGAGAAUGCUUUAGCCGAUGUUUCCCUUUAUCACUAGAGCUCAGAAUUACCAUUUUGAAUGAUUGAUACCAGUCAUGCAGAUUAAUAAGAUCGCCAUGUUCCUGAGCCAAGGUAUGCAUAAUUGAGGAAUCGUGCAUGGAUGGCAACAGGGUAUUGCCAUGCCUGCGACAGCAGCUGCACUGAAUGAUGUUGUGGAAUUCAAGAAGAUCAACUUGAAUCCUUCUUCUUGGGUCUCCAAUUAAAGCUGCUUGAAGUUUGUCAACAUUCUUAAAGCAGACAACUUCGUGGAAAGCUAUGCACUCAAGUGGCUGCAUAUAUUUUCCAACCAUAAAUUCUGCUAGUCUGGCAGCUUUCUCACUUGCUGCUUUGGAAUCCUUCUCUAAAUUCAAAUGGCUCCAAGAUGCAGGUCUCUUGGACAUUUCAAUCAAAUCUCGUUUCAAACUCUUGCUAUCCUCAAAUUUCACCAAUGAUAGCAACUCCUUCACUUUGUCAUGGAUCUCAGGGAUAUCAACCGUAUGUUUCUCCCAACCUUUAAGUAAUGUGCAUAGCUGCAUUGCAGGAAGAUCCCUCACCUUGCGUAUUGCUUGACAGAUAAAACCACCCUUUUGUAAACUAGCAUAUUUUUUAUGCAUAUCUUUAUUGCUUGGAGAUACUGUGGAAUCUUUCUGUAAGCCCUUGCGAGUAUCAGAAACCCGUAAUAUGCCUGACUCUGGAUCAAGGGCCUCACAGAAUAAGUCUAAUAGUUGGAUUUUAUCACACUUUCCUGCUUCAUGCAUGCACAAAAGUACAGUGCUCCACUGAUUCUGCAAUUUCUUCAAUUCUGAUAACCCAUGGAGCAAAGUGUCAAAAUUCCGUUCGCCUAUUUUAUUUCUAUAAGAUGGAAGGUCAAAAGCUCGCUCGAGCAACACUUCUGGUGGCAAUCCAUAAUUUUCACCUUGUAACACCUGGCUGUCCUCUUCAAGAAGAAACCGUAAGAGUAUGAAGCUUAGAGGUUCCAUGGAGAAAUGUUGAGCACAUGCUAUCUUUAAAGCUCUUAUGAAAGAUGUUAUGGUCCCAUCCUGGCUUACAAAGUAAUUUCUCAUAAAAACAGCCACCUUAUGGCCUAUUCUGAACCCAGAACACUGCUUCACAAGAACAGCCUUAACAAUUGCAUCCAUUCUCUCAGAAGGGCUUCCCAAUAUGAACUUACAAGGGCACAAAUGAUGUAGUACAUUUGAAGGAAGUGUAUUUCUCAGGGCAUCAAGUGUUGUUGCAACUCCCAUUAUUAUAAUCACAGGGAUUUUGAACACCCAUUCACUCAACAUAAUGAUGAAAUCAGACAAGACUUUCCCACAACAUCGCUCCAAAUCAUCUAUGAUUAUAACAACCGGAUUAUUACAGUUUCCUUGUUCUCUGUACCAUGUAGCUAAGAUAGAUAUAUCAUGUGCAUCCAAAGUAACCAUUACAAGUUGUCUCAGUAAACUUCUUAGACAACCACCAAUACCAUUUUUCACCGAGAAAUCCAGUGAGGAGAGAUUGGCGACAAGGUAUCCUUGAGAUUUCAAAUGUAAGCCAAGCUCCUCAAAUGUCAGUAGAUCAUCAACAAACUCCAUAUUCUUGGUAAGAACCAACCCAGUGAACACUUGCUUAGAAGUAGCAUCUUUCACAACAGGAAAAGGUUGUGUUGCCUCGGGAAAAGAAGGUGUUCCAAACGAUUUAAUGGUGUUGAAGGACUCAUGAACCCACCGUUGUAUCUCAUUGAACACACCAAUAUUAAGAUUCCUCAAAACAUCUUUAAUGGUUGACUCCAUUUUUGACCAAACAGACUCAAAAGCUUCCAUUCGCUUGUUGACAUAUCCAUGAUCGUCGCCCUCAUCAGCCUUCUCAACCUCUAAAUUCUCAACACUCUUAGGUAGUGAAGGAGAUAAAUCAAUACGCCUCCUGGUUUUUGCUGUUCUGGAUGACUUUUUAUUGGAUUUCUGAGAUGAAGCUUGAUGCAGAACAAAGAAAGGCUGAAGAUUGUUCUCGGUGAUGUCCGGGGCUGCAGGAGUUGGCGAAUCAGUUGCUGCUGCAGCGGUUGUCAUUUUCAGAGAGCGAAGAAGGAGAGGAGAAACUUUCUCUAUCGUUAGGGUUUUAGCAGGCUGCCCAAG